GGACCCUUUUGGGCCCCUUAUUCCUAAACUGUUGGGACCAAAACUCCCAAAAUCAAACCCAACCUUCCUUUUAUGGUCAUAAACCUUGUGUUUAAAUUUCAUAGAUUUCUAUUUACUUAUACUUAAGUUAUGGUGCGAAAACCAAGAAUAAUGCUUAUUUGGGCCCCUUUUUGGCCCCUAAUUUCUAAACUAUUGGGACCUCAACUCCCAAAAUCAAUCCCAACCUUCCUUUUGUGGUCAUAAACCUUGUGUUUAAAUUUCACUGAUUUCUAUUUACUUAUACUAAAGUUAUUGUGCGAAAACCAAGAAUAAUGCUUAUUUGGGCCCUUUUUUGCCCCUAAUUCCUAAAACUGUUGGAAACCAAAACUCCCAAAAUCAAUCCCAACCUUCCUUUUGUGGUCAUAAACCUUGUGUCAAAAUUUCAUAGAUUUCUAUUCACUUAAACUAAAGUUAUAGUGCGAAAACCAAGAAAAUGCUUAUUUGGGCCCUUUUUGGCCCCUAAUUCCUAAAAUGUUGGGACCAAAACUCCUAAAAUCAAUCCCAACCUUCCUUUUGUGGUCAUAAACCUUGUGUCAAAAUUUCAUCUAUUUCUAUUCACUUUUACUAAAGUUAGAGUGCGAAAACUAAAAGUAUUCGGACGACAACGACACAAGACGAC
Molecule: long non-coding RNA, 658 nt
Filed under: Mytilus galloprovincialis (Mediterranean mussel)
Lineage: Eukaryota; Metazoa; Mollusca; Bivalvia; Mytilida; Mytilidae
Source: RNAcentral